GCCAGUAGUCUAGUCAUAUGCUUGUCUCAAAUAAGCGAGUAUACUGUGAAAAGUAUAAGCAUACUGCGAACGAAACUGCGAAUGGCUCAUUAUGGUUUAUUUGAUGGUACCUUGCUACUUUACUUGGAUAACCGUAGUAAUUCUAGAGCUAAUACAUGCAGGAGUUCCCGACUUCGGAAGAAACCAAACCGGUCUCCGGUUGCGUGCUGAGGUCUCCGGUUGUGUGCUGAGUCAUAAUAACGAAUCGCACGGCUCUACGCCAAAUUUCUGCCCUAUCAGCUUCUGCCCUAUCAGCUUUCGAUGGUAGGAUAGAGGCCUACCAUGGCGUUAACGGGUAACGGAGAAUUAGGGUUCGAUUCCUUCCGGAGAGGGAGCCUGAGUGAGAAAUGGCUACCACAUCCAAGGAAGGCUCCUGACACAUAAAUUGCCCGAAUCCUGACACAGGGAGGUAGUGACAAGAAAUAACAAUACAGGGCUCUUGUCUUGUAAUUGGAAUGAGUACAAUUUACAUACAUCUCUUCACGAGGAUCAAUUGGAGGGCAAGUCUGGUGUAAUUCCAGGCGGUAAUUCGUAUAUUAAAAGCGUAUACUUUAAAACGCUCGCUCGUAGUAUUCCGGGGCGGAUUUCGGGGCGGGCCCGCGGGUACGCACUGGCGGGCGCCGCGUCCUUCCUCCCGGAGACGGCUGCUACUCUUAACUGAGCGGUGGCCGGAGACGGGAUGGGAUAUUUACUUUGAAAAAAUCAGAGUGUAGGCAGUCGCUCUUGCAUGGAUUAGCAUGGGGGAUAAUGAAAUAGGACUCUGGUGCUAUUUUGUUGGUUUGGUUUCGAGCACCGGAGUAAGAUUAACAGGCAGGGGCACUGGCACUCGUACGUAUUCCGCCGAGAGAGGUGACCAGCGGAAGACGAAUGACUGCGAAAGCAUUUGCCAGGAUUUGCCAGGGAUGUUUUCACUGAUCAAGAAACGAAAGUUGAUCGAAGACAGACGAUCAGUAGUCUUAACUUAACCAUAAACCAUGCCGAUUGGAGGAUGGAGGAUGUUCCAUUUGUGACUCCUUCAGCACCUUUCGGGAAACUAAAGUCGUUCCGGGGGGGGGGGAGUAGCAAGGCUGAGCUGAAACUUAAUUGACGGAACGGAAGGGCACCACCAGGAUGGGAGCCUGCGGCUUAAUUUGACUCAACACGGGGAAACUUACCAGGUCCAGACAAUGUGAGGAUUGACACGGCUUAAUUUCUCUCUUGUAUUCGACAAAGGGUGGUGGUGCAUGGCCGCUCUUAGUUGGUGGAGUGAUUUGUCUGGUUACGGGGAAACUCGAACGAGACCUAAAUAGCGUGCCGAACCCGCCGAACCCUUUGUUGGGCGUUCUUAGAGGGACAACUUGUUUGUCUUCAACAAGUGGAAGUUCGCGGCAAUAACAGGUCUUGCCCUUAGAUGUUCUGGGCGGCCGCACGCUACACUGAUGCAUUCAGCGAGUCUAUCACCUUGACCGAGAGAGAGGUCCGAAUCUUUUGAACUUGCAUCGAGAUUAUUGCAGAUUAUUGCAACUAUUAAUCUUCAACGAGGAAUUCCUAGCUAGUAAGCGAGCGCACGUUGAUUACGUCCUUACGUCCCUGCCCUUUGUAACACACCGCCCGUCGCUCCUACCGAUUGAAUGAUCCGGUGAGGCCCCCGGACUGCGGCGCUUCUCCAGCUCAGCUUUGGGGGCGUCGCGGCUGUCCGAACCGAACCUAUCAUUUAGAGGAUUAUCGGAAUGUAACAAGGUUUCCGUAGGUGUUAAGCUGUGGAAUUCUUAGCA
This 1793-nucleotide ribosomal RNA is filed under the name Isochrysis galbana. Its description in RNAcentral is "SSU rRNA". It matches the Rfam family "Eukaryotic small subunit ribosomal RNA". The record is from RNAcentral. Lineage: Eukaryota; Haptophyta; Isochrysidales; Isochrysidaceae.